ACACGGCCCCAGAACUCCUACGGGGAGGCAGCAGUGGGGNAUAUUGCACAAUGGGCGAAAGCCUGAUGCAGCGACGCCGCGUGAGGGAUGACGGCCUUCGGGUUGUAAACCUCUUUCAGUAGGGAAGAAGCGAAAGUGACGGUACCUGCAGAAGAAGCGCCGGCUAACUACGUGCCAGCAGCCGCGGUAAUACGUAGGGCGCAAGCGUUAUCCGGAAUUAUUGGGCGUAAAGAGCUCGUAGGCGGUUUGUCGCGUCUGCCGUGAAAGUCCGGGGCUCAACUCCGGAUCUGCGGUGGGUACGGGCAGACUAGAGUGAUGUAGGGGAGACUGGAAUUCCUGGUGUAGCGGUGAAAUGCGCAGAUAUCAGGAGGAACACCGAUGGCGAAGGCAGGUCUCUGGGCAUUAACUGACGCUGAGGAGCGAAAGCAUGGGGAGCGAACAGGAUUAGAUACCCUGGUAGUCCAUGCCGUAAACGUUGGGCACUAGGUGUGGGGGACAUUCCACGUUUUCCGCGCCGAUAGCUAACGCAUUAAGUGUCCUC
This 541-nucleotide ribosomal RNA is filed under the name soil bacterium b10. Its description in RNAcentral is "bacterial SSU rRNA". It matches the Rfam family "Bacterial small subunit ribosomal RNA", at positions 324 to 870 of the family's 1533-position model. The record is from RNAcentral.